RNAcentral lists this ribosomal RNA (481 nucleotides) under uncultured bacterium. Its description in RNAcentral is "partial 16S ribosomal RNA". It matches the Rfam family "Bacterial small subunit ribosomal RNA", at positions 28 to 507 of the family's 1533-position model. The record is from RNAcentral.
GAUGAACGCUGGCGGCGUGCUUAACACAUGCAAGUCGAACGAAGCAUUUAAGACAGAUUACUUCGGUUUGAAGUCUUUUAUGACUGAGUGGCGGACGGGUGAGUAACGCGUGAGUAACCUGCCUCAUACAGGGGGAUAGCAGCUGGAAACGGCUGGUAAUACCGCAUAAGCGCACAGUACCACAUGGUACAGUGUGAAAAACUCCGGUGGUAUGAGAUGGACCCGCGUCUGAUUAGCUUGUUGGCGGGGUAACGGCCCACCAAGGCGACGAUCAGUAGCCGACCUGAGAGGGUGACCGGCCACAUUGGGACUGAGACACGGCCCAGACUCCUACGGGAGGCAGCAGUGGGGAAUAUUGCACAAUGGAGGAAACUCUGAUGCAGCGACGCCGCGUGAGUGAAGAAGUAGUUCGCUAUGUAAAGCUCUAUCAGCAGGGAAGAUAGUGACGGUACCUGACUAAGAAGCUCCGGCUAAAUACGUG